This 403-nucleotide ribosomal RNA is filed under the name bacterium. RNAcentral describes it as "partial 16S ribosomal RNA". It matches the Rfam family "Bacterial small subunit ribosomal RNA", at positions 355 to 776 of the family's 1533-position model. The record is from RNAcentral.
UGGGGAAUAUUGCACAAUGGGGGAAACCCUGAUGCAGCGACGCCGCGUGAACGAAGAAGGUAUUCGUAUCGUAAAGUUCUGUCCUAUGGGAAGAUCAUGACAGUACCAUAGAAGAAAGCUCCGGCUAAAUACGUGCCAGCAGCCGCGGUAAUACGUAUGGAGCGAGCGUUGUCCGGAAUUAUUGGGCGUAAAGGGUACGCAGGCGGUUUAAUAAGUCGAAUGUUAAAGAUCGGGGCUCAACCCCGUAAAGCAUUGGAAACUGAUAAACUUGAGUAGUGGAGAGGAAAGUGGAAUUCCUAGUGUAGUGGUGAAAUACGUAGAUAUUAGGAGGAAUACCAGUAGCGAAGGCGACUUUCUGGACACAAACUGACGCUGAGGUACGAAAGCGUGGGGAGCAAACAGG